UACAGAGGGUGCAAGCGUUAAUCGGAAUUACUGGGCGUAAAGCGUGCGUAGUCGGCUUUGCAAGUCGGGUGUGAAAUCCCCGGGCUCAACCUGGGAACUGCAUCCGAGACUGCAUUGCUAGAGUAUGGGAGAGGGAAGCGGAAUUUCUGGUGUAGCAGUGAAAUGCGUAGAUAUCAGAAGGAACAUCAGUGGCGAAGGCGGCUUCCUGGACCAAUACUGACGAUCAGGUGCGAAAGCGUGGGGAGCAAACAGG
This 253-nucleotide ribosomal RNA is filed under the name uncultured bacterium. Its description in RNAcentral is "partial 16S ribosomal RNA". It matches the Rfam family "Bacterial small subunit ribosomal RNA", at positions 524 to 776 of the family's 1533-position model. The record is from RNAcentral.